UACAGAGGUCUCGAGCGUUGUUCGGAUUCAUUGGGCGUAAAGGGUGCGUAGGUGGCGUGGUAAGUCUGGUGUGAAAUCCCGGGGCUCAACCCCGGAACUGCACUGGAUACUGCCAUGCUUGAGUACUGGAGAGGAGAUUGGAAUUUACGGUGUAGCAGUGAAAUGCGUAGAGAUCGUAAGGAAGACCAGUGGCGAAGGCGAGUUUCUGGACAGUUACUGACGCUGAGGCACGAAGGCCAGGGGAGCAAACGGG
RNAcentral lists this ribosomal RNA (253 nucleotides) under uncultured bacterium. RNAcentral's name for it is "partial 16S ribosomal RNA". It matches the Rfam family "Bacterial small subunit ribosomal RNA", at positions 524 to 776 of the family's 1533-position model. The record is from RNAcentral.